UUUGGAGUCCUCUUUCCUGCAUGUCUUUACCAGAUGUGAUCAAAAAUAUGAUCACACCCAUCAGAAAGGCAGCUCAUAAAACAUGACACUGUGUCCUUACCUCAGUCACUGGGUCUGGCAUGGUGUAACUUCUGGCCCUUCCUCAGAGUCACAGUGACCAUGAAAGAAAAAGACUUUGGAUCCAUUCAGGACCUGGAGGCAGCCAGGACAGCGCACUGAAGACCCUCAGGACAGAGGACUCCAGAGCUGCUGCGGGAAGCAGCCAGGACGAUGGGAUGAGUGUGUCCAAAGUGAAGCGGAUCGUGGAAAUGCAGCAAAGUGUUAAAUUUUUCGAAGCAAUUUUCAACUUCCUUUCUGCAGAGCAGCUGAAGUUCAAGACAAACCAUCCCAGGGAAGCCCAGCAGAAGCAGCCACAUAGAGUUUGGCAAUCCGCAAUCCAAAGAUACUCAACGCACUUCUGUCAUCGCCAGAAACUCACCUGGACCCAAGCACAGAGAGCUUCCUCCACCCCUCAGAGAGCGAGAGGGCGACUGUCGCACCUCCAGGAAUAUGCAGGAGGGGCCGUGGGCCCUGAGCACCUCACAAAGUCAUCAUCUUGUGUACUGGAAAAGUUUUCCACCACCAUGAAAAGCUGCCCUUCUGCCAUGCACCACCCUGCUGGGAGCCAGCUGAUUAUGGGCUGAAACCUCUGCAAACUGUGUGCUACAUAACCCUUUCCUCCUUUAACUUUGAGUGUCAGGUAUUUUUGCCUCAGUAACAAGAGGAAAGUAACUAAGACAUCUCCCAUGGUCUCCUGCGUUGACAUCAGCAGCCCUUGCUCAUGGGCGCCUGCCCCGCUCAGAGCCAGACCCUCCCACACACCCCAGGCCUGCACAUUCUGGACUCAGCUCUCAGAAUCUGAUCUCUGGCUCCCAGCAGAAGCCUUGCCAGCCAAGCUGCCAAUAGAAUGGAUCCUACCAAAUCAGAAGACCACAGACAAAGAAAAGAUAAAAACAUGAAGGGGAACCUGGCCCCAUAGACAAUCCCUGCCACCCUGAAGCCCCAAAGCCUUCUGCAGUUCCUGAACAUGCUCUGAUAUUCAAAGCUUUACAAGUUAACUUCUCAGCUUUGCCUUUAAAUCAUGCACAAUUUUUAUCUUUAUCUGAUAAACAGACAAAUAUAGUGAAUUUCAGAAAAGUCCACUAAACUGUCCUAAAGUUACAAGCUAGUAACAUGACGCUAAGAUCACAUACUUGACUACAAACCUGUAUUUUUCCCAUGUAACAGUUAUCACUUUGUAAAGUAAGAUGCCCCUCCCGACUUGGACAUGCUGCUUAACCUUCUUGUGACCUUGCAACUGUUCAUGUGUCAUCCUGGUUGCCUUCUCACCAGAAGCAGAAAGAGAACUCCAGGACAGGCCAUCAGAGAAUGGUUUGAUCAGGUCCUUAAAAAGGCCAUCAUCAAGAAAUCCAUAACAGCAAAGCCUGGAGACACUGGGGUAAAAGGAGCCUCUCUGCAUUGUUGAUGGGAAGGUAAACUAGUGCAACCUCAAUGGAAUUCAGAAUGGAGAGUCCUCAAAAAGCUGUAACUAGACAUUGCAGUUGACCCAGCUAUCUCCUUCCUAGGUAUCUUCUGAACACAUCAUAUUAUAGAGACCAAUGCACACCCAUGUUUACAACAGCACAGUUCAUAAUAGUUAAAUCUCGUAAGCAACCUGUAUGCACAUUAAUAGAUGCAUGGAUAAGGAAAAUGGAUUUAUAUGCAAUGGAGUACUACUCUGCCAUAAAGAAGAAAUAGACUUGAGGUAUUUUUAGGAAAAUGGAUGCACUUGGAGACCAUAAUGUGAAGCUCUGGGCACAGAGGUUUAAAGAUCACAUGAUUUCUCUUAUAUAAGAGACUCAAAGUAUAGAUAAAGAGCAAAUGCAAGAUAAAUAACAGAAAGUAGGAAAAUAGAUCUUUCUCAAAUGGGAAAGGUGAUCAAGAGAUGGAGGGGGGAGGAGAGAAAGAAGGAAAAGGGAAUGACAAUGUCCUACAUCCGUGCAUCAACUCCACAUGAGUCAUGGAAACAUGUAUUGCAAACAUGAGCUAACACAAUAGAGAAAGAAAGGAGAAUUCCGGAGCCUGAAAUUUAAGUAAACGUGUCAGAGUUGCGCGGUUUUUGUCUCUUGCAUAUUUGAAAUACACAGGGACACUGUUUACCUGACUGUAUCAGUCCACUUGCUGCCGCCGUAUCAAAACCCAGAGCUGUGUCUUUCACAAAUGAAAGAGCUUUAUUGGAGUCACAGAGGCGGAGCUGAGGUUGAGCCUCCCAGGGACAUUAUUCAGCCCAUAAAGGAUUCGGGCUGGGUUUUCAUGCAGAGUCAGAAAAAGAGUGAGAAGGAUCAAAGAAACCAAAGCUCUGCAGAAAGUGAAGACGAGAAUAGCAACUGUGGAUGAAUCAUGAUUAGGGUUUUUUUUCUCCUUUUUAUAGGAAACUCGAUUUGUCAGAUAGGAAAAGGUAGCGAGAGAGGCAUUUAGCUGUCUCUCUCCACACUGAACAAGUCUGAGAAUUGCUUGGGAGAAAGGUAAAUUUGGCUUUAACCGUGGGCUGGCCAAAGAAAAAGCUAUUCAGACUUCAGAGGACAGCUCUUACCUAUUGUACUGCCAUGAAAGUAAAAUUAAGAACCAACGUUUAGAAUUUAUAUACUGACUCUUCAAACCUUCUGGAUAAGAAAAAAGUAUUUGAAAGAUUCAGAGCUCUGUGUUUGUUGGUGUGUAGUGAGCAGACCUUGCAAUUAAGCACAAGACCUAUUUAGCAGUAGAUUGAGUGUUAUGUAACCCUGCUUCUUAAACCUCAUUUCCUGCUCUGCUCAAUCAGGGCUCCCAGAUGUGUCUGCAGAGGCUGUCAAUGGAAGCAAAGAACAGCAUUUAGAAAGCACUUCAUAUAAACGUAAUACAUAGUUGCUAUAAUUAUUAAUCUUUUAAAAAGUCCCUUUGGAACAUCUUUGCCACUAAGUGACAUUUUUAUGUACAGUUUUGUUUGUUUGUUUAUUUGUUUGUUUUUGAGACUAGGGUCUUGCUAAGUUUCCCAGGCUGGCCCUGAGCUUGUGAUUUUCCUGUCCCCAUCUUCUAAGUAGCUGGUAUUACAGACAUGUUCCAAUAUGUCUGGUACUAGAAGAUGUGACCCAUUUUUAAAGUUUUCCCAGAUCAUCUAUCUCCUACCAUCUAGAGACCAUCCAUCUCCUACAACCUACACAUAAAAGUGUCCAUAAUGGCAGAGUGCAUGUGUAAUUUCAGCACUGGGAGAGGCUGAGGCAGGAGGACUGCAAGUUGAGCUCAGCCUGGGCAAUUUAGUAAUUUAGUAGGACCCUGCCUGAAAAUUAAAAAAAAAAUUAAAGUUUAUGAAAUGAAAUUCUUCUCCCUAUGAACUCUAUUGUAUCUUCAAAAUUUAUUGUAUUUGUGAUUGCCAUAUAAUUGUACUCUAUCUAGAUGUCCCCCAAAGCCUCAUUCGCUCAUUGGUGGGGCUUUGGGGAAGCGAUUGGAUCAUGGGGGUGAGGCACUCUCACUGGAUUAGUCCAGAUCUGGAGAGUGGAACCUGAUUGGAGGAGGUGGUUACUGCAGGUGUGGCCUGGACCUGUCCAUCACCCGUCCUCCUCCCUCCUUGAUCACUCUCUGCUUCCUACCCAUCAUGCCAUGAACUGUUUCCCUUCUGCCAUGCUGCCCUGCCUUGGAGCCAGCCUAAGCUUCUAUCAACUAUGAGCCAAAAUAAACCUUUCCUCACUUA
Molecule: long non-coding RNA, 3742 nt
Organism: Cavia porcellus (domestic guinea pig)
Lineage: Eukaryota; Metazoa; Chordata; Mammalia; Rodentia; Caviidae
Exons: 3
Source: RefSeq, a predicted model, not a curated record